UCACCUCUUUCCUUUCAUCUUUCUCGUAUCUAUAUUCCUUCUGUCUCUAUUCUCUCUCUCUCUUUCUCUAGGUUUUUAUAAUAAAUUUGCCUCCAUCAUAAACAUACUACCACGAGGAUCUUUUCAGCAUCAUCACCUCACGUCGUGGCCACUAUCGUUGUACCCAUCACCGGUGACGCUAGAAGUGGCGUCGAUGAGACCGGAUGAGGCGCCUCCUUAUGUCGCCUUUCACUCGAUUCUAGGGCUACGAAUACACAGAUACACAAUAGCAAAAACAAAAAGAAACACUUCUGCUCUUCGUGUUCUUCUUUCUUCUUUUUUAGACCAAGACCUACAAGUCAAUUAUUGGCAAAAUGAGUACUCUUUAAGAUCCAUCAGGUAAUCAACCUUAUUGGCUAUUUGAUUAUUCGAUUUUCUGAUUUUGAAUACGAGAGAGUCUUUGGUUCCCUACUUUAUACUUAGCGGAUUUCUGAUUAUGAAAUUUCCAAGUUCCGAUUUCUGAAAUGUGAAGAAUGAAGUUUGAUUUCUGAUUCUGAAAACCAAUAUGAAUAUUGCUAUUUUUUGCUAAUCUGAUUCUUAAUGAACGAGAAUUUUAGCCCAAUUUACUUAUUUUUUUUAACUUUACUUUUUGCUCCUUUGUAUUUGAAUUCGUUUUUCUUUUAAUUGUAGUUUUCUGUAAGUUCUUUAAGGUUCUUAUAUCAUCUGAAUGUGACAUUUGUGCUUUUUUUGUGAGAACGAGAGCAAAAACUGAUUUUUUUUUUCUUGAUUAAGUUAUAAUCAUUAGUGACUAAACGAAGCAAUAUUCUUCGAGUUUAAUCAUUAAGAAGGUUUACUUCUUGAAUCUAUAAGAGGUUUUAGGAUUGUGCUUUAUUCAUUUAUGCAUAUUUGUUUUUUUGUUUGAUUUUUAAUAUAGAUUUAGUUCUUGUGGAUGAUUACAGUCGUUCUUUAUUCAUUUCAUAUUAAAUGUGUAUUUGGUUAAUGAGUUAAGCACUUUGUUUACAAAUAAUACAAUUUUUUUUGAUUUCUUGUAGAUUGACCGACUUAAUACGGAUAGCCUAAAUGAUUAUAAUGAUGAAAGAUGAAGAAUGCACAUAGACAACAACUUGGAACGAGUCGAAAUUUAUUUAUAUUAAGACAUUAUAAUUUUUCAUUUGUGAUUAUAAUUGUAUUCAUAUAUGAUUGUAAAUGUGUUUUGUUUAUUUAUUUAUUCCAAAGUUGAUGUUUGAUUUUUUAAAUUUUAUAUUGUGCUUUAUUCAUUUACGAUUAUAUUUGUAUUUAUUAAAGACAAUAGUAUUUUAUAUUUAUAAAUGAAAAUGUGCAUUCAUAUAUGAAUGCAUGUCUCG
This 1343-nucleotide long non-coding RNA is filed under the name Lactuca sativa (garden lettuce). RNAcentral describes it as "long non-coding RNA (LSAT_LNC003522)". Lineage: Eukaryota; Viridiplantae; Streptophyta; Magnoliopsida; Asterales; Asteraceae. The record is from RNAcentral.